CAAUUUUACAGAUAAUCAAAGUUUUUUGCAACCUAAGUAUCUUAGAUCUGGUUGCAAAAAAACUUUGAUUAUCUGAAAAGUUG
This 83-nucleotide microRNA precursor is filed under the name Drosophila guanche. The record is from RNAcentral. Lineage: Eukaryota; Metazoa; Arthropoda; Insecta; Diptera; Drosophilidae.